ACGUCAGUUGGCUUAGUGGUUUGAACGCUUGUCUCGCACAUCCAGGGUCUGGGGUUCGAUUCCCGCCUGUGUG
Molecule: non-coding RNA, 73 nt
Organism: Ameiurus melas (black bullhead)
Lineage: Eukaryota; Metazoa; Chordata; Actinopteri; Siluriformes; Ictaluridae
Source: the annotation of a GenBank genome assembly